RNAcentral lists this small nuclear RNA (167 nucleotides) under Pogona vitticeps (central bearded dragon). RNAcentral describes it as "U1 spliceosomal RNA (ENSPVIG00000005519.1)". It matches the Rfam family "U1 spliceosomal RNA". Rfam says of the family: U1 is a small nuclear RNA (snRNA) component of the spliceosome (involved in pre-mRNA splicing). Lineage: Eukaryota; Metazoa; Chordata; Lepidosauria; Squamata; Agamidae. The record is from Rfam by way of RNAcentral.
GUUCAUACCUUGCAGGGGAAAUGCCAUGUCAUAAAAGUGGUUUUCCUUGAGUGAGGCUCAUCCAUUAUACUUUGGGUAUGCUGCUGAUCCCUGUGAUUUCCCCAAAUGUGGGGAACUCAGUUGCAUAAUUUAUAUUAAUAAGGGGAUUACAUUUAUGAUUUCCUUGA